Molecule: ribosomal RNA, 238 nt
Filed under: uncultured bacterium
Lineage: Bacteria
Description: partial 16S ribosomal RNA
Rfam family: Bacterial small subunit ribosomal RNA
Source: RNAcentral
CCGCACGGGUGAGUAACACGUAUCCAACCUGCCGUCUACUCUUGGCCAGCCCUCUGAAAGGAAGAUUAAUCCAGGAUGGCAUCAUGAGUUCACAUGUCCGCAUGAUUAAAGGUAUUUUCCGGUAGACGAUGGGGAUGCGUUCCAUUAGAUAGUAGGCGGGGUAACGGCCCACCUAGUCAACGAUGGAUAGGGGUUCUGAGAGGAAGGUCCCCCACAUUGGAACUGAGACACGGUCCAA